RNAcentral lists this ribosomal RNA (253 nucleotides) under uncultured bacterium. RNAcentral's name for it is "partial 16S ribosomal RNA". It matches the Rfam family "Bacterial small subunit ribosomal RNA", at positions 524 to 776 of the family's 1533-position model. The record is from RNAcentral.
GACGAACCGAGCGAACGUUGUUCGGAAUCACUGGGCUUAAAGGGCGCGUAGGCGGGCAUCCAAGUCUGUGGUGAAAUACUCCGGCUCAACCGGAGAACUGCCUCGGAUACUGGGUGUCUCGAGGGGGAUAGGGGUGUGUGGAACUAUCGGUGGAGCGGUGAAAUGCGUUGAUAUCGAUAGGAACUCCGGUGGCGAAGGCGACACACUGGAUCUCAUCUGACGCUGAGGCGCGAAAGCCAGGGGAGCAAACGGG